GACAGAGGGUGCAAACGUUGUUCGGAAUUACUGGGCGUAAAGCGCGUGUAGGCGGCCGGGCAUGUCGGAUGUGAAAUCCCGUGGCUCAACCACGGAAGUGCACCCGAAACUGCCCAGCUUGAGUCUCGGAGAGGAAGGCGGAAUGCUUGGUGUAGAGGUGAAAUUCGUAGAUAUCAAGCGGAACACCGGUGGCGAAGGCGGCCUUCUGGACGAUGACUGACGCUGAGACGCGAAAGCGUGGGGAGCAAACAGG
This 253-nucleotide ribosomal RNA is filed under the name uncultured bacterium. RNAcentral's name for it is "partial 16S ribosomal RNA". It matches the Rfam family "Bacterial small subunit ribosomal RNA", at positions 524 to 776 of the family's 1533-position model. The record is from RNAcentral.